UGGGGAAUAUUGGACAAUGGGCGAAAGCCUGAUCCAGCAACGCCGCGUGAGUGAUGAAGGCCUUCGGGUUGUAAAGCUCUGUCGGUUAGAACGAAUAAGGGACACCUAACACGUGUCCCGACGACGGUACUAGCAAAGGAAGCACCGGCUAACUCUGUGCCAGCAGCCGCGGUAAGACAGAGGGUGCAAGCGUUGUUCGGAAUUACUGGGCGUAAAGGGCGUGUAGGUGGUGGGGUGUGUUCGGUGUGAAAUCCCUCGGCUUAACCGAGGAAUGGCAUUGAUACUGUUAGUCUAGAGUACAGAUGAUGUGGGCGGAAUAUGACAUGUAGUGGUGAAAUACUUAGAUAUGUCAUAGAACACCGAUUGCGAAGGCAGCUCACAAAACUGUAACUGACGCUGAGGCACGAAAGUGCGGGGAUCAAACAGGAUUAGAUACCCUGGUAGUCCCUGAGCGGGCUGGCAAGGCGCAU
RNAcentral lists this ribosomal RNA (470 nucleotides) under uncultured bacterium. RNAcentral describes it as "bacterial SSU rRNA". It matches the Rfam family "Bacterial small subunit ribosomal RNA", at positions 355 to 825 of the family's 1533-position model. The record is from RNAcentral.